AUGCCCUGUACCUUGCUCGGUUUUAUGUUUCAUGUAUGAAAUCUUGAGCUGGAUGCAACAGUUACUUACUUUGUAAGUCAUUUACUCUUGUAAUGGGCAAGAUCAAUCAAAGGAUUUUAUUUGAGUACGAUUGCAUUAUCAGUAAAUUUGAAAAAUGGUGUAAUUGUAAUUACUAAACCUUACAUUU
This 187-nucleotide small nucleolar RNA is filed under the name Ascoidea rubescens DSM 1968. The record is from RNAcentral. Lineage: Eukaryota; Fungi; Ascomycota; Saccharomycetes; Ascoideales; Ascoideaceae.